UUUUGUCUUAGUAGCGGACGGGUGAGUAAACGCGUAAGAAUCUGCCCCUAGGAAAGCAAUACCAACUGGAAACGGUUGCUAAUAGUUUAUAUGCUGAGAAGUUAAAUGGGUUACCGCCUAGGGAUGAGCUUGCGUCUGAUUAGCUAGUUGGUGGGGUAAAGGCUUACCAAGGCAACUAUCAGUAGCUGGUCUGAGAGGAUGAUCAGCCACACUGGGACUGAGACACGGCCCAGACUCCUACGGGAGGCAGCAGUGAGGAAUUUUCCGCAAUGGGCGAAAGCCUGACGGAGCAAUGCCGCGUGAAGGAUGAAGGCCUGCGGGUUGUAAACUUCUUUUCUUAGAGAAGAUAAUGACGGUAUCUAAGGAAUAAGCAUUGGCUAACCUUGUGCCAGCAGCCGCGGUAAUACAAGGAAUGCAAGCGUUAUCCCGAAUGAUUGGGCGUAAAGCGUCUGUAGGUGGUUAUGAAAGUCUAUUGUCAAAAACCAAGGCUUAACCUUGGGUCGGCAAUGGAAACUUCAUGACUAGAGUACGGUAGAGGUAGAGGGAAUUACCGGUGUAACGGUGAAAUGUGCAGAUAUCGGUAAGAACACCAAUGGCGAAAGCACUCUACUGGGCCGAGACUGACACUCAGAGACGAAAGCUAGAGGAGCGAAUAGGAUUAGAUACCCUAGUAGUUCUAGCUGUAAACGAUGGAAACUAAGUAUUGAGCUUUUUAUUAAAGAGCAGUACUGUAGCUAACGCGUUAAGUUUCCCGCCUGGGGAGUAUGCUCGCAAGAGUG
This 779-nucleotide ribosomal RNA is filed under the name uncultured marine eukaryote. Its description in RNAcentral is "bacterial SSU rRNA". It matches the Rfam family "Bacterial small subunit ribosomal RNA", at positions 85 to 896 of the family's 1533-position model. The record is from RNAcentral.